This is a long non-coding RNA of Thunnus maccoyii (southern bluefin tuna), 929 nucleotides long. RefSeq lists it as uncharacterized. Lineage: Eukaryota; Metazoa; Chordata; Actinopteri; Scombriformes; Scombridae. The record is from RefSeq and is a predicted model, not a curated record. The transcript is spliced from 2 exons.
CAGUUCAAGCCUCUAGCAUUGUCGCAGUCUUACCAAUAACAUUAACACUGGCUCCAUUCUAUUCAAGUGUCCAGUGAGCCAGCAUGCACAAAACCAGGACCCAGCAGCAUUAAUUUUACUAUUAACACCUGUGCUUUUCUUGAUGUCACAUGUCCAGGUGUCUUCAAUGAAAAAAGACACAUUGAUGACCUUCUAGAGAGGACUUCCAAGCCUCUCCUUGCAGGAUCCUGUAGAUCAGGGCUGGUUCGUUAGUGAGAUUUGAUUCACCUGGUCUGACUGCUGAUUGCAAGAUAGAAGCUUGAGUUUUCCCCCCUUGCCUUUUAUCCUUUUGAUUUGGUUUUAGCUUUAUUUCUCCUUUCCUUAAGUAAAACAAACUGAUCAUAUGUGGUCUGCUCUUGUUGUGACAGCAUUAACUCAAACUCAGUUCUACAUAUGCAUCUUCAUUAUUUGGAGCUGCCUACCAAAACCGUCUACAAGUGCAUCUGGUAAACAAAUGUUCCCACAUGGUUUAAGGAUUCAAACCAACAACCUUCCAAGCACAAGCAUCCCGUCCCGUGUUUCCAAACCCUCAAACCUUGAGUGAACCUCCUAAUCAUCAGCUCCGAAUCCAGGAGAACCACCAGGCCAAACUGCUGGAACCAACGCAUCUCCCAGGAGACGUAAAACUCUCAGUGGCUUCGAGGAGCUUCCAGGUUUCUUGACGAUGCGGAUUUUAUCACAGGUUUGAUUUCUCCGCUGCAACCCGAGCCAAUUCACACAGCAGAUCAGAAACUUGAUCUCCUGGUUGAACUGGAGACGGCAGAAACUUCCAAAACUGCUCAAGCCAGAUGCCGUUGGGAAAAAAAAAGUGAUCCCUAUAUGACUACUAGAAAUGAGAAACCUAUAAGCUAAAUGUUUCGUUCUUUUCUAAUAAAAAUAGUGCGAUGAUG